GAUGAAUGCUGGCGGCGUGCCUAACACAUGCAAGUCGAGCGGCAGCGAGGGGUGCUUGCACCCUGUCGGCGAGCGGCGAACGGCUGAGUAACGCGUAGGAAUUUGCCCCAAAGUGAGGAAUAACUGCCCGAAAGGGUAGCUAAUGCCGCAUAUGGUCUUCGGAUUAAAGGAUUUAUCCGCUUUGGGAGAAGCCUGCGUUGGAUUAGGUUGUUGGUAGGGUAAUGGCCUACCAAGCCGACGAUCCAUAGCUGGCCUGAGAGGAUGAUCAGCCAGACUGGAACUGAGACACGGUCCAGACUCCUACGGGAAGCAGCAGUGAGGAAUCUUCCACAAUGGGCGAAAGCCUGAUGGAGCAACGCCGCGUGAAGGAUGAAGGCCUUCGGGUUGUAAACUUCUUUUAUGAGUGAAGAAUAUGACGGUAACUCAUGAAUAAGCACCGGCUAACUACGUG
RNAcentral lists this ribosomal RNA (451 nucleotides) under uncultured bacterium. RNAcentral describes it as "partial 16S ribosomal RNA". It matches the Rfam family "Bacterial small subunit ribosomal RNA", at positions 28 to 507 of the family's 1533-position model. The record is from RNAcentral.